AACGAACGCUGGCGGCAUGCCUAACACAUGCAAGUCGAACGAGACCUUCGGGUCUAGUGGCGCACGGGUGCGUAACGCGUGGGAACCUGCCCUUAGGUUCGGAAUAACUCCCCGAAAGGGGUGCUAAUACCGGAUAAUGUCUUCGGACCAAAGAUUUAUCGCCUUUAGAUGGGCCCGCGUUGGAUUAGCUAGUUGGUAGGGUAAAAGCCUACCAAGGCGACGAUCCAUAGCUGGUCUGAGAGGAUGAUCAGCCACACUGGGACUGAGACACGGCCCAGACUCCUACGGGAGGCAGCAGUGGGGAAUAUUGGACAAUGGGCGAAAGCCUGAUCCAGCAAUGCCGCGUGAGUGAUGAAGGCCUUAGGGUUGUAAAGCUCUUUUACCCGGGAUGAUAAUGACAGUACCGGGAGAAUAAGCUCCGGCUAACUCCGUG
This 433-nucleotide ribosomal RNA is filed under the name uncultured bacterium. Its description in RNAcentral is "partial 16S ribosomal RNA". It matches the Rfam family "Bacterial small subunit ribosomal RNA", at positions 29 to 507 of the family's 1533-position model. The record is from RNAcentral.